Molecule: long non-coding RNA, 313 nt
Organism: Piliocolobus tephrosceles (Ugandan red Colobus)
Lineage: Eukaryota; Metazoa; Chordata; Mammalia; Primates; Cercopithecidae
Exons: 3
Source: RefSeq, a predicted model, not a curated record
UUUUUUUUUUAUAGAAUGGAUAGCAACAUUUAUACUGGAACAAUUAUUUAUCUCAUUAUUUGGCUCCUUUCUUGUUUUAUAUUUUGUUUAUUUUUCGCAAGAGAUGGAAAACUUUCAAAAAUUGAUAUGAUUAAGUUAAUUAUUACAUUAGUCACCCUGGCUGUAUUUUGCUUAUGGAUAUUCUGGUUGUGUGUAUACGUGUCUCAACUAAACCCUAUAGUUUUCCCGAAACGGAAGGAAGUAGAACAUAAAUAAAGAAUAAAUAUUACAUAUGAUGAAGAAAAAAAAAUUCUUUUUAUUAUUCUAAAUUUUA